Molecule: ribosomal RNA, 305 nt
Filed under: uncultured bacterium
Lineage: Bacteria
Description: bacterial SSU rRNA
Rfam family: Bacterial small subunit ribosomal RNA
Source: RNAcentral
GCCUACGGGAGGCAGCAGUGAGGAAUAUUGGUCAAUGGGCGGAAGCCUGAACCAGCCAAGUCGCGUGAGGGAAGAAGGCCCUGCGGGUCGCAGACCUCUUUGGACGGGGAGCAAGGCCGCCGACGUGUCGGCGGAAGGAGAGUACCCGUAGAACAAGCAUCGGCUAACUCCGUGCCAGCAGCCGCGGUAAUACGGAGGAUGCGAGCGUUAUCCGGAUUUAUUGGGUUUAAAGGGUGCGCAGGCGGCACGGCAAGUCGGCGGUCAAAUCGCGGGGCUCAACCCCGCGCAGUGGUGGGAACUGGCGG